Non-coding RNA from Macaca mulatta (Rhesus monkey), 682 nucleotides. The record is from RefSeq and is a predicted model, not a curated record. Lineage: Eukaryota; Metazoa; Chordata; Mammalia; Primates; Cercopithecidae.
GUCAUGGCACGCAUCACAGUGGGGCCUUGCCCGGGUCAGCAGGGCCCAGAGAUGGGGUCCUCCGCUGCCUGAGGCGGCCACAUGCCUGCCUGCAAUGUGUUUGUGUGCAUGCGUGCACACCUGUACAUGGGUAAACACAUCUGUGCACGUGUGUGUGCCUUCUCUGGCCAGGCCUGGCUGCCCCAUUCAUGUGUGCACCCAGUUCCUCAUCACUGUCACCCCCGAGGCCCAGGACCAGUAUCAGAGCAUCCACGGGUGUUCCCUAACCUCAGCCCUCCUCGCCCAGGGUGGUGUGGGAUACACAUAAGGAUGGAGGGAAGUGACCACUACUGUUGAAUCUCAGAAUACAAAUGCUACUACUAUUACUUAAUGGGCCUAGGGGAUGCCAAAUUCCAGGGUCCAGAAAGAGCUUGGGAUAAAAUGAAGCUUCAAGAGGUGAACUUUGACCUGGACUCAGUCUGCCUGUGCCAUUCAAACGGAGUCUCAAGUCCCAAGAUAGGGCGUCCAGAUGCCUCAAUGCAGGGACCUCUGAUCGACAGCUGCUCCCCUGUACUCAUUAGCAACCUCACCCACCCUACUCUCAAAGCACACUUGGCCCUCAUAUCCGGGAGCUCUGCAUCUGUGGAUUCAGCAACAGCAGAUGGAAAAUAUUCAGAAAAUAAAUUGCAUGGUUAUGUCUCUA